GCAAUGGACCAAGAACACAUUCAAUAUCGUUGGUAACGAGAAGAUCUUGGUUAUUUCGUUCUACAUUUUGAUAAAAAUAGCAAUGGUUACAUUGUUAUUGAAAUCAACAUUGUUAAGUGUUCCUUCUGUCAAUUUUAACGACUCACAAAUCCUAUAAGCCAAUUCUGACACUCCCAUGGACAGUAAAAUAUUCAGUAUCGUUCGUACCUAGAUGACAUCUAUCAUUGGUUAAUCCAUACAAUAAAUAGAAAUUUUAAAAAAUGUUAAUAUGUUACCAAAUCUCGACCUCGAUUAAAGGCUUUCAAGAACCCUAAAAGCCUAACUUGCCAUGGACAACAUAUAAUCAACAAUUAAUUAUGUCGUUUUAAGAUCGGCGGAAAUUUGUCGGAAAUCUUGUGCAGGUCGACUCUCUAAAAACAGCAUAUCUCCACGAGGAAUUAUUCCGGUUCCCAAGAGGAAUUAUGUCGUUUUAAAGCGACAUAAUUCCGCCGAUCGAACAUAAUCGCCGCGAAGUUAUUUGCAUAUAGAAAUAUUUAAGAAUUUGGUUUUUAAAUUUUGUUUACAAUCAGGAAAUAAUCGCAAAUGUUGGUACCUAGUUGACCUAUAUAUCCUUGGUUAUUCCAUACCAUGGAUAUAGUCCUAGCUAACCUAAAGGACCAAGUUCUUGCAAAAUACGCAAGAACAUGGUCCAAAUGUAUGUAUGCUUUCGUUUUACAGCCGCCCCCAGCAACAGCCCCGCCCCCUGAAUGGUUCCUAGUUGACAAUUAUAUCCCUGGUUAUACCAUACCAUCGAUAUAGUCCUUGGAAACCUAAAGUAUCAGAUCCCUGCAAAAUGAGCGUUGGAAUGGUCCAAAAACAUGUUUGCUUUUUCUUACAGGAGCCUUUUUCAUUAGCUGCUGUUUUACAGCCACCUUACAGCACUCCGUUUACAUGAUCUGUUACUUAAAAGAACUCAUUUUAAAUGAGUUACAUUUUUUCCCUUAAGGCUAUGCAAUGCAAUUUUUUGUUCGUAAAACUCGUCGACCUUCUGGGCAUUUCUGUUCGCCUGGUAUUUUUGGGAAAUUUUAGCUCUAUUGGGGACCGGCGAUGAGGGUGCCCCUUUAUACUACGUCAUUUUUCGGCCGCAAAAAUAUUAAAUGUCGACCUUCUGGUCAUUUCUGUUCGCCUGGUAUUUUGGUGAAAUUUUUAGUACAAAUUUGAGACCCAGCCGGUGGCUAGGGUGCCCCUUUUGGGUAUGCAAUGAAAUUUUUCGGCAGCUAAAAAAUAUUUUUUGUCGACCUUCUGGGCGUUUCUGUUCGCCUGGUAUUUUGGCAGAUUUUUAGAAAAAUCUCGCCAGCCAGCGGUUGUUAGCAGACUCCCCUGGCGGGUAUGCAAUGGAUUUCUAAAAACCGUUGAUUUUUGAAUUUAUGAAUUAAAAAAGCAGGAUUUUCAUUUAAAAUAAUUUAUUUAUUUUGUUUAAUUGUUUUUUAUGCUAAUUUUCUUAAAUAUUUCUCUUAAAAGUGUACAAAGCGAGCGUUAAUUAAAAUUUUUGCUUAUUUGAACUUAAAAUAGCUGUAUCUGGCUUAAUUAAAGUCUGAUCCUGGAAAAAUUAGCUUUGUCCCUCGUGGAGGUCCUUAGAAUUCAUUGUAGUCCUUAAUUUGUCAAUCUGAAAAGAUAAAAACACAUAUAAAUUAAACAAGGCAAAAAAUGUAAAACACCAUUUAAUGUAAAGAAAAAAGGACAUAACUCGGCCGUAUCCUUGCAGAUUUUCAAAGGACAUGGUGCGUUAGGAUCGUAUAGACCCACUGCAUCGAUCUGCAUCAAAAAAAUACGGGGUCAUCUAAGAAUCAUAGGACUUGUAAAAUUUCAGUCGCGGAGCGCACGGAAAUGGGCUGAAC
Drosophila montana is the source of this 1877-nucleotide long non-coding RNA. RefSeq lists it as uncharacterized. NCBI's taxonomy places the organism in Eukaryota, Metazoa, Arthropoda, Insecta, Diptera, Drosophilidae. The transcript has 3 exons. The record is from RefSeq and is a predicted model, not a curated record.